Non-coding RNA from Mugil cephalus (flathead mullet), 450 nucleotides. The record is from the annotation of a RefSeq genome assembly. NCBI's taxonomy places the organism in Eukaryota, Metazoa, Chordata, Actinopteri, Mugiliformes, Mugilidae.
AUGACUUUGAUCUGCGUCCUCAUCUGGACUCUCCUCUGCUGCUGCUUCACAGAGUCCAGAGACCAUGUCACAGUGACUCAGCCUGGAUCAGUGAGGUCUGGUCUGGGAGGAACCGUCACCAUCAACUGUAGGACCAGUCAGGAGGUUCGUUUCCACAUGGUCUACAGCGGCGGCUACGUCUCCAGCAUUCACUACUUUUUAUCCUGGUACCAACAGAGAGAUGGAGGAGUUCCCAAACUUCUCAUUUACUAUGCUAACAAUAGAGCAUCAGGGAUUCCAGAUGGUUUUUCAGGCAGUGGAAGAAACUCUGACUUCACUCUGACCAUCAGUGGAGUCCAGGCUGAAGAUGCAGCAGUUUAUUACUGUCAGAGUCUUCAUAGCAUCAACAGUCAGUAUGUGUUCACACAAUGCAAGGGAAGAACUAAGAGCAUGUGCCAGAAGUAUGUUUGA